This 267-nucleotide ribosomal RNA is filed under the name uncultured bacterium. Its description in RNAcentral is "partial 16S ribosomal RNA". It matches the Rfam family "Bacterial small subunit ribosomal RNA", at positions 1144 to 1410 of the family's 1533-position model. The record is from RNAcentral.
GGAGACUGCCGGUGACAAACCGGAGGAAGGUGGGGAUGACGUCAAGUCAUCAUGGCCCUUACGGCCUGGGCUACACACGUGCUACAAUGGUCGGUACACAGGGUUGCCAAGCCGCGAGGUGGAGCUAAUCCCAGAAAACCAAUCGUAGUCCGGAUCGCAGUCUGCAACUCGACUGCGUGAAGUCGGAAUCGCUAGUAAUCGCGAAUCAGAAUGUCGCGGUGAAUACGUUCCCGGGCCUUGUACACACCGCCCGUGGGGCGGGGGCGG